This 1475-nucleotide ribosomal RNA is filed under the name uncultured Bordetella sp. RNAcentral's name for it is "partial 16S-23S ribosomal RNA intergenic spacer". It matches the Rfam family "Bacterial small subunit ribosomal RNA". The record is from RNAcentral. Lineage: Bacteria; Pseudomonadati; Pseudomonadota; Betaproteobacteria; Burkholderiales; Alcaligenaceae.
GGUUUGAUUAUGGCUCAGAUUGAACGCUGGCGGAUGCUUUACACAUGCAAGUCGAACGGCAGCACGGACUUCGGUCUGGUGGCGAGUGGCGAACGGGUGAGUAAUGUAUCGGAACGUGCCUAGUAGCGGGGAUAACUACGCGAAAGCGUAGCUAAUACCGCAUACGCCCUUCGGGGAAAGCGGGGGACCUUCGGGCCUCGCACUAUUAGAGCGGCCGAUAUCGGAUUAGCUAGUUGGUGGGUAACGCUCACCAAGGUGACGAUCCGUAGCUGGUUUGAGAGGAUGACCAGCCACACUGGGACUGGAGAUUAUUAGGCCCAGACUCCUACGGGAGGCAGCAGUAGGGGAAUUUUGACAAUGGGGAAACCUCAUCCAGCCAUCCCGCGUGUGCGAUGAAGGCCUUCGGGUUGUAAAGCACUUUUGGCAGGAGAAGAAACGGCACGGGAUAAUACCCCGCGCAACUGACGGUACCUGCAGAAUAAGCACCGGCUAACCACGUGCCAGCAGCCGCGGUAAUACGUAGGGUGCAAGCGUUAAUCGGAAUUACUGGGCGUAAAAGCGUGCGCAGCAGGCGGUUCGGAAAGAAAGCGAUGAAACCUUGAGCUUAACUUCGGAACUGCAUUUUUAACUACCGAGCUAGAGUGUGUCAGAGGGAGGUGGAAUUUCGCGUGUAGCAGUGAAAUGCGUAGAUAGCGCGGAGGAACACCGAUGGCGAAGGGCAGCCUCCUGGGAUAACACUGACGUCAUGCACGAAAGCGGAGCAAACAGGAUUAGAUACCCUGGUAGUCCACGCCCUAAACGAUGUCAACUAGCUGUUGGGGCUCCUCGCCUGCAGCAGCUAAUGCGUGAAGUUGACCGCCUGGGGAGUACGGUCGCAAGAUUAAAACUCAAAGGAAUUGACGGGGACCCGCACAAGCGGUGGAUGAUGUGGAUUGACUGAUGCAAACGCGAAAAACCUUACCUACCCUUGACAUGUCUGGAAUCCCGAAGAGAUUUGGGUGAGUGCUCGCAAGAGAACCGGAAACACAGGUGCUGCAUGGCUGUCGUCAGCUCGUGUCGAGAUGUUGGGUUAAGUCCAUAACGAGCGCAACUCUUGUCAUUAGUUGCUACGAAAGGGCACUCUAAUGAGACUGCAGGUGACAAACCGGAGGAAGGUGGGGAUGACGUCAAGUCCUCAUGGCCUAUGGGUAGGGCUUCACACGUCACAAUGGUCGGGAGAGAGGGUCGCCAACCCGCGAGGGUGGAGCCGGGAAUCCCAGAAACCCGAUCGUAGUCCGGAUCAGUCUGCAACUCGACUGUGAAGUCGGAAUCGCUAGUAAUCGCGGAUCAGCAUGUCGCGGUGAAUACGUUCCCGGGUCUUGUACACACCGCCCGUCACACCAUGGGAGUGGGUUUUACCAGAAGUAGUUAGCCUAACCGUAAGGAGGUGGCGAUUAACACGGUAGGAUUCAUGAUCAGUGGUCGUAACAAGGUAA